AUACUAAAGAGUACAUAGUUAUUAGUUUAUUUUCGGUCAAAAAAAUCAUUUAUUUUCCUUUCUUACGUUUGCUUUUUGUUAUUAUUUGUUGCGUUUUGUUGUAGAAUAUUGUAAAUACAUCGAAAUUUAAUACAUUACAAGUGGGUUACUCCACUCUCCGUUGUGAAAUUAGCUGAAACGAACCAAAAAUGGAUUCAGAUAAAUAUAUUACGAUUGUUCCUGUUGAGUAUCCUCGAAACAGGCAACAGUUCAUACGGCCUCCCGAUGAAUAUAGUGAUUUUCCUCAAAACCGGAAUUGGCCCCACACCAGAGCAGUAAGAACCGAAUCGAGUACUAUGCGUAGGAAAGAAUUGAAACGAUCGUUGGAACACAAAAGAUCUCACAAUCAUUCCCUCAAUGAUCCUAUACAAUCGUGUUCCAAGCCAAUAAUAAGUGCUCCGCUUGCAUUCCAAACAGCUCCAAAACCUAAAAAAAACCCGCUAAGUGUAUAUAUUUAUACAAUGGCUGACAUAGUCUUGCACAUGGAUAUAGAAGAUGCAAACACAACUACAGUAUCAGAUCUUGUUGAUAUUAUAAUACAGCAAAAAAAUUUAGGAUUAUCAAGAAUCGCUAAAAAUAUUUUUACAAUUUGGAUGAAAUCAAAUGUUUUAGAAAUUCAAUUAAAACCACAACAUAAAUUAUUGACAGUAUUUCAAAAAUGGUCCUCACUUGAAGAAAAAUAUUGCAUUCAAACCAAAAAAAUUAUUUUCAAGGAACCAAUUUUGAGUUUUCAAAGAAAUGUGUUUUUUCCUAGAAAAGACGAGGAAAAAAUUAAGGACCAAAAAAUUAUUGAGUUAUUAUACGCCGAAGCUAAGUAUAAUGUAUUACAAGGUCGGUAUCCUGUUGAAGUUAAUCAUUGUUUAAUGUUAGCUAGUUUGCAAUGCCGAAUAGAAUUAGGUCCAAAUAAUUUACAACAAUACACCUCAAGUUUUUUUAGAGACAACCGGGAAAGAUUUUUACCAUCCCAUUUAUACAAAAGCUGGUCAUCGUGGUUAAAUCUUGAUAGAAAAAGUACACCACAUUCUCGGCUUGCAGAUCAUUUAAAACAUAUACAAAUAACUGGAUCUGAUCGUAGACUUUACCACAAGUAUUUAGAGUGCUGUUACAUGCUACCAUUUUAUGGGUGUGCUUUUUUCCAUGGUCAAAUAGAACAACCUGUUCGAGGUUUGAUGUCUUUAAUUAACCAUAAAGAUGUUCCUAUUUAUAUUGCAGUCAACACCGAAGGAGUUUAUAUUUUAGAUUGUGUGGAAAAUAGUUUAUUGUUGGGCCUUAAGUAUCAAGAUUUUUCAUGGGAAUUUGCUAAGCCAUCUCAAGAAGAUAAUGAUCAUUGUUUACCGUGUAUAUUUCUUCAGUUUUUAGUAUUAGAAAAUGGAACAAGAGUUUCAAAAAUUUUACAAGUAUUUUCUAAACAAGCUGUUAUGAUAGAUGCUCUAAUUGCGUGUUUUGUCGAAGAUUUUAGACACAAAUUAGCUAUGAAUGAAUAUGACGAUGUAGAUAGAACUGGCGGUUUUGAACAUAUUUCUGUUGGAGAUGGAUCUCAAAUACCGUUGGCACAUUUGUUCCGUAGCGAACCACAAUCUCGAUUAUGUAAUAAACUAAAUAAGUUGACUCUGGCUACAUUUGAUGAAGAUGCAUGUAAUCAUCACUUAGAAAGUUGCUAAUACUAUAAUUUAUUUUGAUCAUACACAAUUAUGCAUGGUUUGUAAACUAUUUAUGAAUUUAAUCUACUACAAUGAACUGAAGUCAUUGUAUUGGACAAAUGGGAUCUUGGUCAUUCAGCUACUGAAAGUGGACACUUAAUAUAAUAUACUCUUUUUCUAUUGAUCUCUAUGCAGCCAUCCUUUAUUUAAAAUCACUUUUCUUCUGUUUCUUAUCAUUGAAUACCAUUGUAUUAAGAUAUAAUACAUAUGAUUACCUUAACCUAGUCAAUUUUGUUUAGUUAUGUUUAGUUGAAUCUUAAAUAAGUUAAUAUUUUUUAAGUAUAUAUAUUUUUUAUUAGUAUUCAUUGAUCUUGUUUAUCAAGGAUUCGAUAACAAACAUUUUAAUGUCUAUGUUGGACAACUCAUUAAAAGUUUUUGUUUCUGAGCAUUGUAGUACAUUUCCAGCCAGAGUUUAUUUUGUCCUUAGUAUAAUACCAAAUAGUUAUUAUAAUUUUAACUAUAUUUUUUAUUAUUUUUUUAUUUGUUAUUUUAUUAAAUUACCAACUUUAGAGAUGUUUUCUUUUGAUGUAGUACUCAUUGACUUAUAUUGCUUACAUACAUUUCAUAAAGUUAUUAAUUAUGAUACAAAACUUUAUUUUAUUCAACAUAAAAAGCGAUCCGGGUGGUUGACUCGUGUCUAGUCUAGCAUUGUUCUGUUGUCUUGUAUAUUGGCUACUUGGGAUUAAUUAAGUAGGAAAAUAAUUGUGAGUGACCGGUAAGAAAUUGACAAAAACCUGUCACUGCUUUGGUUGCCCUUAUGUUAAAUAGAAUAUCAUUACUAAUAUGAAUCUUACUAUUAUUCACUUUUAUAUUUGUAUUUCACAUAUCUAUAUCAAAUUUUUGAUAUAAUCUUUUCAAUUGUCAAAAUUAUUUCAUCUACAAAGUUAAUAUGAUAAGUAUUUACAAAUUUAAUGAACGGUUUUUAACUUUAAAAAUAUUCUAAUAAUUAUAUAUUUGUAAUUCUAAAUGUCGUAGAAUUACAUUAUUAUUAUUAUUUUAUUGUGGUAUUACAGCUGUGAUUGGAACUUUCACCAAAUUAUUAUUCAUUAUAUAACCAUAAAUUGUAUGUUGGUAUUACUUGUGCAUUACAGUCGUAUAUAAAUUAAUAUUCUUUAAAUGUUUGUGUAAUGUCUAAAUUAAGUGUUUGGAACAAAUAUUUAAGAAAUUUAAAAUUUGUAAUUAAAAAAAAAAAUUGUAAGUAAUUUAUUGAUAAAACUACGUGUAUUAAAUAAAGUAAAAACAACCAUUGUUACAAUACCCAAGCUAGACUGGGUAAUGUAUAAUUUUUCCCAUGUUACCAUUACAAUUGCCAGAAAAUGUACAAAUUACCUGAUAGUCCUUAAUAUAUUUGCCCUAUACAGAAGAUUGAUUGUGCAAUUUAUUUUACAUAGUCCUAAUCUUAUCACUAUUCCAAUUUUUAUGGAAGAUUAUUUCUAAUACAUUAAUUAAACAUAUUACAAUAUGACAUGUAUUAUAUUGUUAACACUAAAUGAGAUGUAUUAGUAUAACAUUUUAAAAACCGUGAAUUAUAUUUUAAAUGUACCAAUUUCUUAAAUUUGAAAGCUAAUGCAGACAAUAGAUAUAUUAUAAAUUAUUUAAGAAGUUAAAUAAUCAAAAUUUCCAUUUACUACUGGUUGAUAUAAAAUGUGAUGCUUCCUAAACUUGUUAAUUUUUUUUUA
This 3418-nucleotide unclassified non-coding RNA is filed under the name Rhopalosiphum maidis (corn leaf aphid). RNAcentral's name for it is "fERM domain-containing protein 8, transcript variant X3". The record is from RNAcentral. Lineage: Eukaryota; Metazoa; Arthropoda; Insecta; Hemiptera; Aphididae.